GAUGAACGCUGGCGGCGUGCCUAAUACAUGCAAGUCGAGCGAACGGAUGAGGAGCUUGCUUCUCUGAUGUUAGCGGCGGACGGGUGAGUAACACGUGGAUAACCUACCUAUAAGACUGGGAUAACUUCGGGAAACCGGAGCUAAUACCGGAUAAUAUUUUGAACCGCAUGGUUCAAAAGUGAAAGACGGUCUUGCUGUCACUUAUAGAUGGAUCCGCGCUGCAUUAGCUAGUUGGUAAGGUAACGGCUUACCAAGGCAACGAUGCAUAGCCGACCUGAGAGGGUGAUCGGCCACACUGGAACUGAGACACGGUCCAGACUCCUACGGGAGGCAGCAGUAGGGAAUCUUCCGCAAUGGGCGAAAGCCUGACGGAGCAACGCCGCGUGAGUGAUGAAGGUCUUCGGAUCGUAAAACUCUGUUAUUAGGGAAGAACAUAUGUGUAAGUAACUGUGCACAUCUUGACGGUACCUAAUCAGAAAGCCACGGCUAACUACGUG
RNAcentral lists this ribosomal RNA (497 nucleotides) under uncultured bacterium. RNAcentral's name for it is "partial 16S ribosomal RNA". It matches the Rfam family "Bacterial small subunit ribosomal RNA", at positions 28 to 507 of the family's 1533-position model. The record is from RNAcentral.